This 189-nucleotide ribosomal RNA is filed under the name uncultured Staphylococcus sp. RNAcentral describes it as "partial 16S ribosomal RNA". It matches the Rfam family "Bacterial small subunit ribosomal RNA", at positions 151 to 334 of the family's 1533-position model. Lineage: Bacteria; Bacillati; Bacillota; Bacilli; Caryophanales; Staphylococcaceae. The record is from RNAcentral.
CGGAAACCGGAGCUAAUACCAGAUAAUAUUUUGAACCGCAUGGUUCAAAAGUAAAAGACGGUCUUGCUGUCACUUAUAGAUGGAUCCGCGCUGCAUUAGCUAGUUGGUAAGGUAACGGCUUACCAAGGCAACGAUGCAUAGCCGACCUGAGAGGGUGAUCGGCCACACUGGAACUGAGACACGGUCCAG